This 405-nucleotide ribosomal RNA is filed under the name uncultured bacterium. Its description in RNAcentral is "partial 16S ribosomal RNA". It matches the Rfam family "Bacterial small subunit ribosomal RNA", at positions 30 to 526 of the family's 1533-position model. The record is from RNAcentral.
AUUGAACGCUGGCGGCAGGCUUAACACAUGCAAGUCGAACGAGUGGCGGACGGGUGAGUAAUGCUUGGGAAUCUAGCUUAUGGAGGGGGAUAACUACGGGAAACUGUAGCUAAUACCGCGUACCAUAGGAUGAGCCCAAUUGGAAUUAGGUAGUUGGUGAGGUAAAGGCUCACCAAGCCGACGAUCGCUAGCUGGACUGAGAGGAUGACCAUGCGUGCUGGUGCUGGGAUCCGACCAAGACUCGUACGGGGGGCAGCAGUGGGGAAUAUUGGGCAGUGGGGGCAACCUGACGCAGCCAUGCCGCGUGAAUGAAAAAGGCCUUCGGGUUGUAAAGUUUUUUCGGUAGAGAGACGUUAACUACAGAGGAAGCACCGGCUAACUCCGUGCAGGCAGCCGCGGUAAUAC